RNAcentral lists this ribosomal RNA (342 nucleotides) under uncultured Methanothermobacter sp. RNAcentral describes it as "bacterial SSU rRNA". It matches the Rfam family "Archaeal small subunit ribosomal RNA", at positions 360 to 702 of the family's 1478-position model. Lineage: Archaea; Methanobacteriati; Methanobacteriota; Methanobacteria; Methanobacteriales; Methanobacteriaceae. The record is from RNAcentral.
CGCAAGUGCGACGGGGGACCCCAAGUGCCACUCUUAACGGGGUGGCUUUUCAGAAGUGUAAAAAGCUUCUGGAAUAAGGGCUGGGCAAGACCGGUGCCAGCCGCCGCGGUAACACCGGCAGCUCAAGUGGUAGCCGCUUUUAUUGGGCCUAAAGCGUCCGUAGCCGGUCUGAUAAGUCUCUGGUGAAAUCCCACAGCUUAACUGUGGGAAUUGCUGGAGAUACUAUCAUGACUCGAGGUCGGGAGAGGCUGGAGGUACUCCCAGGGUAGGGGUGAAAUCCUGUAAUCCUGGGAGGACCACCUGUGGCGAAGGCGUCCAGCUGGAACGAACCUGACGGUGAGG